RNAcentral lists this ribosomal RNA (500 nucleotides) under uncultured bacterium. RNAcentral describes it as "partial 16S ribosomal RNA". It matches the Rfam family "Bacterial small subunit ribosomal RNA", at positions 28 to 523 of the family's 1533-position model. The record is from RNAcentral.
GAUGAACGCUAGCGGCAGGCUUACUACAUGCAAGUCGAGGGACAGCACAGGUAGCAAUACUGGGUGGUAACCGGCAAACGGGUGCGGAACACGUACACAACCUUCCUUUAAGUGGGGGAUAGCCCAGAGAAAUUUGGCUUAAUACCCCGUAAUAUAGUUGAAUGGCAUCAUUUGAUUAUUAUAGCUACGGCGCUUAAUGAUGGGUGUGCGGCUGAUUAGAUAGUUGGCGGGGUAACGGCCCACCAAGUCUACGAUCAGUACCUGAUGUGAGGGCAUGAACAGCCACACGGGGACUGGGACACGGGCCCGACGCCUGCGGAAGGGAGCAGUAGGGAAUAUUGGUCAAUGGACGCAAGUCUGAAACAGCCAUGCCGCGUAAAGGAUUAAGGUCCUCUGGAUUGUAAACUGCUUUUAUUUGGGACGAAAAAGGGCCUUUCUAGGUCAACUGACGGUACCAGAUGAAUAAGCACCGGCUAACUCCGUGCCAGCCGCCGCAGUAA